CAGUGGGCCUUCAGUGGACACGAGGCCACCAGGUGGCGGAUUCUCCUGCAGAAGGGGCACUUCUGGGGCUGGGGUGGCAGCUUGCGUUUCUUGGCGAUGGUCUAGUCCUCCAUGAUUGUAGCAUCUGUCUUUCUUUGAUUUGUGCUUCUGCAUAUUCUUCCCUUUUGGAUGCCUCGCACUCCCAAAACAGAACACCACUAGGUUCAGAGCCAGAGAACCAGAGAGACUGUAGACCUUAGCCUGCUUCUUAAAGGUGGACUCCACUGCCUCACCUCCUUCAGGCUCUGGAAGCCCUCCAUGUGCAGUUUACUCUGGGCACAAAGACGUCCACCCGAGGGUCCAAUCUGGCCCCUGAGCCGGUGGCCGUGGACAGGAAGCCCAACCCCACGCACACCGUGACCUGCUUACAGAUUGCUGCACCAUGCUGCAGCUGCGGCUCCUUGCACCCUCCGCAGCCUUGGCGCUCCCACCUGCAAACUGCUGACGGGACACGGAGCCUACGGCAGUCAGCUGAGCCCGUGGUCCUGGGCCCCUGGUCAAGCAGCUGCUGGCCCCUGAGAAGUCCGGAGGCAAAAGGGUGGCGGGAGAAGAGGCUGUGGCAGCUUCUCCAGCACUCCAGGUGAUGCUUAUGAUGCAACCAUUUGAAAACCACGACGGAGAACAAGAGGAAAUUGUCAGCCAAAGCAAAACUGAAGAAAAUUUGUGGCCACCCACUAACAAUCAAUAAUAUACAUAAAAUGCUGUUGACUUUUAUGGGCAAGCUAUAAGAAAAGAUCCAUCAGUAGAAUGUUGAAAAAUAGAAAAAGGAGUAAGGGAGGGGACUUCGCCAUACUAGUGCUUCCAAUAUAUGCCCACAUCGAGAAAUAUAAAGGAAGAAACUAUCCCUCAAUUACAUAAAAUACAGUCAUUUCAAUUCACUCUUUUGACGCAUAGUGUUUUGACUCAUGAUGCAUUGUAAUUAGGAGGAACUCACUUUGUUUUCUUUGUUGUCAUUGGCAAUCACGACUCAUGACACUUCUGCAGAUUUUGGUGGUAAAUGAGACCCUUGAAGGGUCUUCCAUGUCAGAGUUCAUUCUGAUUUACACAGUCCCGGGCCAGUUAAUAGUGUCUGGGAUUUAUUUUCC
Molecule: long non-coding RNA, 1124 nt
Filed under: Equus caballus (horse)
Lineage: Eukaryota; Metazoa; Chordata; Mammalia; Perissodactyla; Equidae
Description: lncRNA (ENSECAG00000047452.1)
Source: RNAcentral